Molecule: long non-coding RNA, 388 nt
Filed under: Brassica napus (rape)
Lineage: Eukaryota; Viridiplantae; Streptophyta; Magnoliopsida; Brassicales; Brassicaceae
Description: long non-coding RNA (BNAP_LNC018742)
Source: RNAcentral
CAGUUGGAUACUUAGAGAGAGGGUUUGGAUUCUGAGAAAGAGAUAGAUGGAGUGUUGGUGAAGAUUUACUCUUAAGAGGGAUAUUAAGGAGUAACCAAUUAAAAGAUGUGUCAUUUCGAACACCCUCUUGUUAAUACUUUGCAUGUUCAUUAGCUCUACUCUAGCUCUGCGUAAUCAUUUCAUUUUGACAGCUAAUGCUAUGAUUUUCACCUUGAGUUGACAAAAGGAGAAGUAGAAGAUAUGUUUUGACGUAAUAAUUAUCUAAAACAUUAAAUCUAUAUAUAUACUUAACCCAUAUAUACAUAUUGCAUUAACAUAUUGGUAACACUAAUUUUAUUUUGAACUAUAUUUUUCAGCUACAUUAAGAUAAAGAUUCAACUAAAUGUAA